This 1328-nucleotide long non-coding RNA is filed under the name Zea mays. RNAcentral describes it as "long non-coding RNA (ZMAY_LNC002709)". The record is from RNAcentral. Lineage: Eukaryota; Viridiplantae; Streptophyta; Magnoliopsida; Poales; Poaceae.
AGUGCGCGAUGGCGGGGAGGAACCUGUACAUGAGAUUCAGCUGCAGCACAGGGGACGCCAUGGGGAUGAACAUGGUCUCAAAGGGCGUGCAGAACGUGCUGGAUUUUCUUCAGGAUGACUUCCAUGACAUGGAUGUCAUUAGCAUAUCUGGUUCAUCUUGCUCUCUCGGUUUUUGGUAAAGUUGAAUUACCUCAGUUUACUGAGUCACGUAGUGGCUGCUUAGUGUACUGAACUUUCAGAGCAUUCUUCUACCAUUAAAAAACUAAAAUGGAUUCCCACGUCAAGCGUUAUCUUAUUUGAAUCCUGACCAUACGCCCAUUCUAAGGAGUCUUCAAUGAACAAUAAGUAUGAGAGACCUAUUGGCAGUUUAAAUACCCAGCACUAUUUGUUCUAUACUUCUAUUGAAUCAUUGAGGGAAGCUUGGGGACAAAAAGGUGGAUUGUUGAAUAUAACUGCACCUGUUUAAAUUUAGUUGGUCAGUGAACCAGUGUGGCAUGGUCUAUGAAGUUUUAAGGACUCCAUCACUUUGCUACGCACUAUGGUUUCAGGAAGGAAAAAAAUGGCUUAUUUUUUCAUACAAGAUACCAGACAACACCCUUAGUAUUUUGUAAUACAACAAUACUGCACAUAAACCAAGACUGACUUCAACUUAUACUUAUUAUAAGUAGUUACGACUAGGUUUUCUUGGACAUCAUCCAUACUACUAAAACGAUCAGGAGACGGCAGACCAACUACAAAAAAAAAACCAAGAGGAGACGGCACACCAACUACCAAAAAAAAAACUAGAAAGAACAUUUCAAGUAGAAACAUCAGUGCUUCUUUUACACAAGCAACAAGGCCAGUGCUUUUACAAAAAACAAAAAAAAAGCAUGGAAUAUUUGACUGUACUAUUAAACACCUGGUUACAUCAGAGUAAUCAUGUUAGAUUACAAGAAACAGUAUUUCAAGGCGGCGAGUUGCUGCCACUUGCCCACUACUCUGUUUACUCAAGUUAGUAGCUUUGGUGUUCCAUGAAAAUGUCUUCGGUGACUCUUUCUGAACCUGGUCAAAACCGAUCCCAUCAGCAUAAUUUUGUGCAUCGAAUGACUGUACAACUGGAGACGCAAGAUCCUACAGCAACGUAUUCUGUACAUACAUUCCUGCAACUUUCCCAAGCUAACCAGCAUCUCCGCCUCCUGAAACCAGGCAACUUCUGCUCCGACAAGAAGCCGUCCGCCGUGAACUGGAUCGAGGGGCGCGGGAAGUCCGUGGUGUGCGAGGCCGUGAUCGGGGAGGAAGUGGUGAAGAAGGUCCUGAAGACCGACGUGCAAUCGCUGGUCGAGCUGAAC